UCAUUUGAUCGAAACAAAAUUAGACCAGAUGAAUUAUUACCGAAAAAAUAGAUAAUGUCUGGCUGUCUUGUGUAUCAUGGAUGUCUAUUUUUUUUUUGUUGUUGUUUUCGAUUUCAUUUGGUCAACGGAUGAAAUCAACGAGAA
Molecule: long non-coding RNA, 144 nt
Organism: Dermatophagoides pteronyssinus (European house dust mite)
Lineage: Eukaryota; Metazoa; Arthropoda; Arachnida; Sarcoptiformes; Pyroglyphidae
Source: RefSeq, a predicted model, not a curated record